Molecule: transfer RNA, 77 nt
Filed under: Chlamydia trachomatis
Lineage: Bacteria; Pseudomonadati; Chlamydiota; Chlamydiia; Chlamydiales; Chlamydiaceae
Also listed under: 33 other names
Description: tRNA-Pro(tgg)
Rfam family: tRNA
About the family: Transfer RNA (tRNA) molecules are approximately 80 nucleotides in length. Their secondary structure includes four short double-helical elements and three loops (D, anti-codon, and T loops). Further hydrogen bonds mediate the characteristic L-shaped molecular structure. tRNAs have two regions of fundamental functional importance: the anti-codon, which is responsible for specific mRNA codon recognition, and the 3' end, to which the tRNAs corresponding amino acid is attached (by aminoacyl-tRNA synthetases). tRNAs cope with the degeneracy of the genetic code in two manners: having more than one tRNA (with a specific anti-codon) for a particular amino acid; and 'wobble' base-pairing, i.e. permitting non-standard base-pairing at the 3rd anti-codon position.
Source: RNAcentral
CGGGAUGUGGCGCAGUUUGGUAGCGCGCCUGCUUUGGGAGCAGGAUGUCGCAGGUUCGAAUCCUGUCAUCCCGACCA